Molecule: ribosomal RNA, 253 nt
Filed under: uncultured bacterium
Lineage: Bacteria
Description: partial 16S ribosomal RNA
Rfam family: Bacterial small subunit ribosomal RNA
Source: RNAcentral
UACGGAGGGUGCAAGCGUUGUCCGGAUUUAUUGGGUUUAAAGGGUGCGUAGGCGGCCCGUUAAGUCAGUGGUGAAAGCCUCCAGCUCAACUGGAGAACUGCCAUUGAUACUGACAGGCUUGAGUACAGACGAGGUUGGCGGAAUUGAUUGUGUAGCGGUGAAGUGCAUAGAUACAAUCAAGAACUCCGAUUGCGUAGGCAGCUAACUAGGCUGUAACUGACGCUGAGGCACGAAAGCGUGGGAAGCGAACAGG